GGGUUGUGAGGUUAAGCGACUAAGCGUACACGGUGGAUGCCCUGGCAGUCAGAGGCGAUGAAGGACGUGCUAAUCUGCGAUAAGCGCCGGUAAGGUGAUAUGAACCGUUAUAACCGGCGAUUUCCGAAUGGGGAAACCCAGUGUGAUUCGUCACACUAUCAUUAACUGAAUCCAUAGGUUAAUGAGGCGAACCGGGGGAACUGAAACAUCUAAGUACCCCGAGGAAAAGAAAUCAACCGAGAUUCCCCCAGUAGCGGCGAGCGAACGGGGAGGAGCCCAGAGCCUGAAUCAGCAUGUGUGUUAGUGGAAGCGUCUGGAAAGGCGCGCGAUACAGGGUGACAGCCCCGUACACAAAAGCGCAUGUGCUGUGAGCUCGAUGAGUAGGGCGGGACACGUGGUAUCCUGUCUGAAUAUGGGGGGACCAUCCUCCAAGGCUAAAUACUCCUGACUGACCGAUAGUGAACCAGUACCGUGAGGGAAAGGCGAAAAGAACCCCGGCGAGGGGAGUGAAAAAGAACCUGAAACCGUGUACGUACAAGCAGUGGGAGCACCCUU
RNAcentral lists this ribosomal RNA (555 nucleotides) under Salmonella enterica subsp. enterica serovar Hadar. RNAcentral describes it as "partial 23S ribosomal RNA". It matches the Rfam family "Bacterial large subunit ribosomal RNA", at positions 1 to 586 of the family's 2925-position model. Lineage: Bacteria; Pseudomonadati; Pseudomonadota; Gammaproteobacteria; Enterobacterales; Enterobacteriaceae. The record is from RNAcentral.